UUCCCUGAGUCCCUGAUUUCACGCUGCCAAGAAAAGCCUCUAGCGAGGCGGGAGGUGCCUGUACCGCAAACCGACACAGGUAGGCGAGGAGAGAAUCCUAAGGUGAUCGAGAGAACUCUCGUUAAGGAACUCGGCAAAAUGACCCCGUAACUUCGGGAGAAGGGGUGCUCUGGUAGGGUGUUAAAGCCCGAGAGAGCCGCAGUGAAUAGGCCCAGGCGACUGUUUAGCAAAAACACAGGUCUCUGCAAAACCGCAAGGUGAAGUAUAGGGGCUGACGCCUGCCCGGUGCUGGAAGGUUAAGAGGAGAGGUCAGCGCAAGCGAAGCUUCGAAUUGAAGCCCCAGUAAACGGCGGCCGUAACAAUAACGGUCCUAAGGUAGCGAAAUUCCUUGUCGGGUAAGUUCCGACCCGCACGAAAGGCGUAACGAUCUGGGCACUGUCUCAACGAGAGACUCGGUGAAAUUAUAAUACCUGUGAAGAUGCGGGUUACCCGCGACAGGACGGAAAGACCCCGUGGAGCUUUACUGUAACCUGAUAUUGAAUUCCGGUGCAGCCUGUACAGGAUAGGUAGGAGCCUUGGAUUCCGGAGCGCUAGCUUCGGAUGAGGCGUUGGUGGGAUACUACCCUGGCUGUAUUGGACUUCUAACCCAUGCCCCUUAUCGGGGCAGGAGACAGUGUCAGGCGGGCAGUUUGACUGGGGCGGUCGCCUCCUAAAGAGUAACGGAGGCGCCCAAAGGUUCCCUCAGAAUGGUUGGACAUCAUUCGUAGAGUGCAAAGGCAUAAGGGAGCUUGACUGCGAGACCUACAAGUCGAGCAGGGUCGAAAGACGGGCUUAGUGAUCCGGUGGUUCCGCAUGGAAGGGCCAUCGCUCAACGGAUAAAAGCUACCCCGGGGAUAACAGGCUUAUCUCCCCCAAGAGUCCACAUCGACGGGGAGGUUUGGCACCUCGAUGUCGGCUCAUCGCAUCCUGGGGCUGUAGUCGGUCCCAAGGGUUGGGCUGUUCGCCCAUUAAAGCGGUACGCGAGCUGGGUUCAGAACGUCGUGAGACAGUUCGGUCCCUAUCCGUCGCGGGCGCAGGAAAUUUGAGAGGAGCUGUCCUUAGUACGAGAGGACCGGGAUGGACAUACCUCUGGUGUACCAGUUGUCUCCAAAGGCAUCGCUGGGUAGCUAUGUAUGGACGGGAUAAAUGCUGAAAGCAUCUAAGCAUGAAGCCCCCCUCGAGAUGAGAUUUCCCAUUACGCAAGUAAGUAAGAUCCCUCAAAGAAGAUGAGGUUGAUAGGUCUGGGGUGGAAGCACGGCGCCGUGUGGAGCUGACGGAUACUAAUCGAUCGAGGACUUAAUC
Molecule: ribosomal RNA, 1341 nt
Filed under: metagenome
Description: bacterial LSU rRNA
Rfam family: Bacterial large subunit ribosomal RNA
Source: RNAcentral